GCCCGCCUAGCUCAAUCGGAUAGAGCGUCAGACUCUUAAACAAGCUAGGCGAUCUGAAGGCUGCGAGUUCGACCCUCGCGGUGGGCU
Melanogaster broomeanus is the source of this 87-nucleotide non-coding RNA. Lineage: Eukaryota; Fungi; Basidiomycota; Agaricomycetes; Boletales; Melanogastraceae. The record is from the annotation of a GenBank genome assembly.